RNAcentral lists this long non-coding RNA (309 nucleotides) under Elaeis guineensis (African oil palm). RNAcentral describes it as "long non-coding RNA (EGUI_LNC075188)". The record is from RNAcentral. Lineage: Eukaryota; Viridiplantae; Streptophyta; Magnoliopsida; Arecales; Arecaceae.
CCCACAACCUUGUUAGGAACAGGAGGAGAACCUCAUCCUAACAUGAGCAAAGUCGAAGGCUCGAUUUUUUAAAGAUCGAAUCGAGGGAGAGGCCCUCGCAAUGGCCCAUAUGCGCCCCCACAGCCUUAUUAGGAACAGAAGGAGAACCUUGUCCUAACAUGAGCAAAUUUGAAUGUCCGAUUUCUUAAAGAUCGGAUGGGGGGAGAGGCCCUCGCAACGGCCCAUAUACGCCCCCACAGCCUUGUUAGGAACAGGAGGAGAACCUCAUCCUAACAUGAGCAAAGUCGAAGGCCCGAUUUCUUAAAGACC